GAUGAACGCUAGCUACAGGCUUAACACAUGCAAGUCGAGGGGAAACGACAUCGAAAGCUUGCUUUUGAUGGGCGUCGACCGGCGCACGGGUGAGUAACGCGUAUCCAACCUGCCCAUCACUUGGGAAUAACCUUGCGAAAGUAAGACUAAUACCCAAUGAUAUCCCACGAAGGCAUCGGAAUGGGAUUAAAGAUUUAUCGGUGAUGGAUGGGGAUGCGUCUGAUUAGCUUGUUGGCGGGGUAACGGCCCACCAAGGCAACGAUCAGUAGGGGUUCUGAGAGGAAGGUCCCCCACAUUGGAACUGAGACACGGUCCAAACUCCUACGGGAGGCAGCAGUGAGGAAUAUUGGUCAAUGGGCGAGAGCCUGAACCAGCCAAGUAGCGUGCAGGAUGACGGCCCUAUGGGUUGUAAACUGCUUUUAUAAGGGAAUAAAGUGGGUCUCGUGAGACUUUUUGCGUGUACCUUAUGAAUAAGGACCGGCUAAUUCCGUG
This 492-nucleotide ribosomal RNA is filed under the name uncultured bacterium. RNAcentral's name for it is "partial 16S ribosomal RNA". It matches the Rfam family "Bacterial small subunit ribosomal RNA", at positions 28 to 507 of the family's 1533-position model. The record is from RNAcentral.